GCCAGUGGUACCCUGGGGUGCACGGGGCAAAGCCUUGCCAGCAGCAGGAGGGAGGUGACCCUUCCCCUCUGCUUGGCGCUGCUGAGGCCAGGCCUGAGGUGCUGUGCCCAGGGCUGGGCUCCCAGUGCAAGAGAGACAUGGGCAUAGUGGAGAGAGCCCCCAGUGCCCCUCCCCCACCACUGCGCUCAGAAUGUUGGGCUGUGUUGACCCGGCGCUGUCCCGGCAACACUUCUGUGCCGCCACGAAGUGUCAGGGGUAAGAGCCAAGCUCUUGCCCUGCAGCACUGGGACGGCACUGGGGCACUGUUUGCCAGAAUUUGUCCACCUGUCUGGCCACCACCUCGUGCCCCACAGGCGUGCCCUUUCAGGACGCUUGUCUUGGCUUUGUGGAGAUGGGCCAGGUGAAUUGCUGCCGUGGCGCCAGGGACGAGCCUGAGCCUGAGCAGCCACGUGUGCCCAGCGCUGGAACUGGCCAGUUGGCUGAUGGUGGCACCCGCAGCAGGAGGAGGAGGUGGCUGCCCUGGCACUUUGUGCGGCCAGGGACCUCGGCGGCUGCAGAGGCACCGGGGCCGUCGGGCUCUACCCGCAUGGGGCUUCUCUUUGGCCGGCCCCUGGCUGAUCUCUGCAGCCAGGAUGGCAU
Columba livia (rock pigeon) is the source of this 639-nucleotide long non-coding RNA. RefSeq lists it as uncharacterized. The record is from RefSeq and is a predicted model, not a curated record. NCBI's taxonomy places the organism in Eukaryota, Metazoa, Chordata, Aves, Columbiformes, Columbidae. The transcript has 3 exons.